Molecule: ribosomal RNA, 769 nt
Filed under: Staphylococcus sp. SK5(2016)
Lineage: Bacteria; Bacillati; Bacillota; Bacilli; Caryophanales; Staphylococcaceae
Description: bacterial SSU rRNA
Rfam family: Bacterial small subunit ribosomal RNA
Source: RNAcentral
CAGAUGAGAAGCUUGCUUCUCUGAUGUUAGCGGCGGACGGGCUGAGUAACACGUGGGUAACCUACCUAUAAGACUGGGAUAACUCCGGGAAACCGGGGCUAAUACCGGAUAAUAUUUUGAACCGCAUGGUUCAAUAGUGAAAGACGGUUUCGGCUGUCACUUAUAGAUGGACCCGCGCCGUAUUAGCUAGUUGGUAAGGUAACGGCUUACCAAGGCGACGAUACGUAGCCGACCUGAGAGGGUGAUCGGCCACACUGGAACUGAGACACGGUCCAGACUCCUACGGGAGGCAGCAGUAGGGAAUCUUCCGCAAUGGGCGAAAGCCUGACGGAGCAACGCCGCGUGAGUGAUGAAGGUCUUCGGAUCGUAAAACUCUGUUGUUAGGGAAGAACAAAUUUGUUAGUAACUGAACAAGUCUUGACGGUACCUAACCAGAAAGCCACGGCUAACUACGUGCCAGCAGCCGCGGUAAUACGUAGGUGGCAAGCGUUAUCCGGAAUUAUUGGGCGUAAAGCGCGCGUAGGCGGUUUCUUAAGUCUGAUGUGAAAGCCCACGGCUCAACCGUGGAGGGUCAUUGGAAACUGGGAAACUUGAGUGCAGAAGAGGAGAGUGGAAUUCCAUGUGUAGCGGUGAAAUGCGCAGAGAUAUGGAGGAACACCAGUGGCGAAGGCGGCUCUCUGGUCUGUAACUGACGCUGAUGUGCGAAAGCGUGGGGAUCAAACAGGAUUAGAUACCCUGGUAGUCCACGCCGUAAACGAUGAGUGCUAAG